GGACCCGUGGCCUAAUGGAUAAGGCGAUAGACUUCUAAUCUAUAGAUUGCGGGUUCGAGUCCCGCCGGGUUCG
Gracilariopsis chorda is the source of this 73-nucleotide non-coding RNA. The record is from the annotation of a GenBank genome assembly. Lineage: Eukaryota; Rhodophyta; Florideophyceae; Gracilariales; Gracilariaceae.